Molecule: ribosomal RNA, 160 nt
Filed under: Parcubacteria group bacterium CG23_combo_of_CG06-09_8_20_14_all_35_6
Lineage: Bacteria
Description: partial 23S ribosomal RNA
Rfam family: Bacterial large subunit ribosomal RNA
Source: RNAcentral
CUAUGUCGGGCACGGAUAAGUGCUGAAAGCAUCUAAGCACGAAGCCAACCCCAAGAUAAGAACUCAUCAAGAUUUCCUGUAGACCACAGGAUUGAUAGGCUGCAGGUGUAAGGCCAGUAAUGGCUUUAGCCGAGCAGUACUAAUAAAUCGAAAUCUCAAU